GACGAACGCUGGCGGCGUGCUUAACACAUGCAAGUCGAGCGGUAAGGCCCCUUCGGGGGUCCACGAGCGGCGAACGGGUGAGUAACACGUGAGCAAUCUGCCCAUCACAUCGGGAUAACUCCGGGAAACCGAAGCUAAUACCGAAUACGACCACCUCCGGCAUCGGAUGGUGGUGGAAAGUUCCGGCGGUGAUGGAUGAGCUCGCGGCCUAUCAGCUUGUUGGUGGGGUAACGGCCCACCAAGGCCUCGACCGGUAGCCGGCCUGAGAGGUGGACCGGCCACACGGGGACUGAGACACGGCCCAGACUCCUACGGGAGGCAGCAGUGGGGAAUAUUGGACAAUGGGCGAAAGCCUGAUCCAGCAACGCCGCGUGAGGGAUGACGGCCUUCGGGUUGUAAACCUCUUUCAGCAGGGACGAAGCGCAAGUGACGGUACCUGCAGAAGAAGCACCGGCCAACUACGUG
RNAcentral lists this ribosomal RNA (465 nucleotides) under uncultured bacterium. RNAcentral's name for it is "partial 16S ribosomal RNA". It matches the Rfam family "Bacterial small subunit ribosomal RNA", at positions 28 to 507 of the family's 1533-position model. The record is from RNAcentral.